UACGAAGGGGGCUAGCGUUGCUCGGAAUCACUGGGCGUAAAGCGCACGUAGGCGGAUUGUUAAGUCAGGGGUGAAAUCCUGGAGCUCAACUCCAGAACUGCCUUUGAUACUGGCGAUCUUGAGUCCGGGAGAGGUGAGUGGAACUGCGAGUGUAGAGGUGAAAUUCGUAGAUAUUCGCAAGAAUACCAGUGGCGAAGGCGGCUCACUGGCCCGGUACUGACGCUGAGGUGCGAAAGCCAGGGGAGCAAACGGG
RNAcentral lists this ribosomal RNA (253 nucleotides) under uncultured bacterium. RNAcentral's name for it is "partial 16S ribosomal RNA". It matches the Rfam family "Bacterial small subunit ribosomal RNA", at positions 524 to 776 of the family's 1533-position model. The record is from RNAcentral.